UUAAGCGACUAAGCGUACACGGUGGAUGCCCUGGCAGUCAGAGGCGAUGAAGGACGUGCUAAUCUGCGAAAAGCGUCGGUAAGGUGAUAUGAACCGUUAUAACCGGCGAUGUCCGAAUGGGGAAACCCAGUGCAAUUCGUUGCACUAUCGUUAACUGAAUACAUAGGUUAACGAGGCGAACCGGGGGAACUGAAACAUCUAAGUACCCCGAGGAAAAGAAAUCAACCGAGAUUCCCCCAGUAGCGGCGAGCGAACGGGGAGCAGCCCAGAGUCUGAAUCAGCUUGUGUGUUAGUGGAACGGUCUGGAAAGUCCGACGGUACAGGGUGAUAGUCCCGUACACCAAAAUGCACAGGCUGUGAACUCGAAGAGUAGGGCGGGACACGUGGUAUCCUGUCUGAAUAUGGGGGGACCAUCCUCCAAGGCUAAAUACUCCUGACUGACCGAUAGUGAACCAGUACCGUGAGGGAAAGGCGAAAAGAACCCCGGCGAGGGGAGUGAAAAAGAACCUGAAACCGUGUACGUACAAGCAGUGGGAGCACCUUCGGGUGUGACUGCGUACCUUUUGUAUAAUGGGUCAGCGACUUAUAUUCUGUAGCAAGGUUAACCGUAUAGGGGAGCCGCAGGGAAACCGAGUCUUAACUGGGCGUUAAGUUGCAGGGUAUAGACCCGAAACCCGGUGAUCUAGCCAUGGGCAGGUUGAAGGUUGGGUAACACUAACUGGAGGACCGAACCGACUAAUGUUGAAAAAUUAGCGGAUGACUUGUGGCUGGGGGUGAAAGGCCAAUCAAACCGGGAGAUAGCUGGUUCUCCCCGAAAGCUAUUUAGGUAGCGCCUCGUGAAUUCAUCUUCGGGGGUAGAGCACUGUUUCGGCUAGGGGGUCAUCCCGACUUACCAACCCGAUGCAAACUACGAAUACCGAAGAAUGUUAUCACGGGAGACACACGGCGGGUGCUAACGUCCGUCGUGAAGAGGGAAACAACCCAGACCGCCAGCUAAGGUCCCAAAGUCAUGGUUAAGUGGGAAACGAUGUGGGAAGGCACAGACAGCCAGGAUGUUGGCUUAGAAGCAGCCAUCAUUUAAAGAAAGCGUAAUAGCUCACUGGUCGAGUCGGCCUGCGCGGAAGAUGUAACGGGGCUAAACCAUGCACCGAAGCUGCGGCAGCGACACUAUGUGUUGUUGGGUAGGGGAGCGUUCUGUAAGCCUGCGAAGGUGUGCUGUGAGGCAUGCUGGAGGUAUCAGAAGUGCGAAUGCUGACAUAAGUAACGAUAAAGCGGGUGAAAAGCCCGCUCGCCGGAAGACCAAGGGUUCCUGUCCAACGUUAAUCGGGGCAGGGUGAGUCGACCCCUAAGGCGAGGCCGAAAGGCGUAGUCGAUGGGAAACAGGUUAAUAUUCCUGUACUUGGUGUUACUGCGAAGGGGGGACGGAGAAGGCUAUGUUAGCCGGGCGACGGUUGUCCCGGUUUAAGCAUGUAGGCUGGUUAUCCAGGCAAAUCCGGAUAAUCAAGGCUGAGGUGUGAUGACGAGGCACUACGGUGCUGAAGUAACAAAUGCCCUGCUUCCAGGAAAAGCCUCUAAGCAUCAGGUAACAUCAAAUCGUACCCCAAACCGACACAGGUGGUCAGGUAGAGAAUACCAAGGCGCUUGAGAGAACUCGGGUGAAGGAACUAGGCAAAAUGGUGCCGUAACUUCGGGAGAAGGCACGCUGGUGUGUAGGUGAAGUCCCUGCGGAUGGAGCUGAGACCAGUCGAAGAUACCAGCUGGCUGCAACUGUUUAUUAAAAACACAGCACUGUGCAAACACGAAAGUGGACGUAUACGGUGUGACGCCUGCCCGGUGCCGGAAGGUUAAUUGAUGGGGUUAUCCGUAAGGAGAAGCUCUUGAUCGAAGCCCCGGUAAACGGCGGCCGUAACUAUAACGGUCCUAAGGUAGCGAAAUUCCUUGUCGGGUAAGUUCCGACCUGCACGAAUGGCGUAAUGAUGGCCAGGCUGUCUCCACCCGAGACUCAGUGAAAUUGAACUCGCUGUGAAGAUGCAGUGUACCCGCGGCAAGACGGAAAGACCCCGUGAACCUUUACUAUAGCUUGACACUGAACAUUGAGCCUUGAUGUGUAGGAUAGGUGGGAGGCUUUGAAGCGUGGACGCCAGUCUGCGUGGAGCCAACCUUGAAAUACCACCCUUUAAUGUUUGAUGUUCUAACGUUGGCCCCUUACCGGGGUUGCGGACAGUGUCUGGUGGGUAGUUUGACUGGGGCGGUCUCCUCCCAAAGCGUAACGGAGGAGCACGAAGGUUAGCUAAUCCUGGUCGGACAUCAGGAGGUUAGUGCAAUGGCAUAAGCUAGCUUGACUGCGAGCGUGACGGCGCGAGCAGGUGCGAAAGCAGGUCAUAGUGAUCCGGUGGUUCUGAAUGGAAGGGCCAUCGCUCAACGGAUAAAAGGUACUCCGGGGAUAACAGGCUGAUACCGCCCAAGAGUUCAUAUCGACGGCGGUGUUUGGCACCUCGAUGUCGGCUCAUCACAUCCUGGGGCUGAAGUAGGUCCCAAGGGUAUGGCUGUUCGCCAUUUAAAGUGGUACGCGAGCUGGGUUUAGAACGUCGUGAGACAGUUCGGUCCCUAUCUGCCGUGGGCGCUGGAGAAUUGAGGGGGGCUGCUCCUAGUACGAGAGGACCGGAGUGGACGCAUCACUGGUGUUCGGGUUGUCAUGCCAAUGGCACUGCCCGGUAGCUAAAUGCGGAAGAGAUAAGUGCUGAAAGCAUCUAAGCACGAAACUUGCCCCGAGAUGAGUUCUCCCUGAGACUUUAAGUCUCCUGAAGGAACGUUAAAGACGAUGACGUUGAUAGGCCGGGUGUGUAAGCGCAGCGAUGCGUUGAGCUAACCGGUACUAAUGAACCGUGAGGCUUAACCU
This 2899-nucleotide ribosomal RNA is filed under the name Klebsiella pneumoniae. RNAcentral describes it as "23S ribosomal RNA". It matches the Rfam family "Bacterial large subunit ribosomal RNA". The record is from RNAcentral. Lineage: Bacteria; Pseudomonadati; Pseudomonadota; Gammaproteobacteria; Enterobacterales; Enterobacteriaceae.